CAGCAUCUCAACACACAGCUUUCUAAACCCAGCAUCAUUUACACCUGUGGAAAAAAGAGGAUAUGAAGAGCACUAACUGCAUACUUGGCUAAUAAAGAGAUGUCUACAGGUUUGAUGUGCCUGCUGCAGGUGACUGGUGAACUGAGCCGUGAUCAACCGAAGGAUUCUUACAUGCCCGUGUGGACAGGAGGAGCCGCUGCUGGCCCUGAAAGUAUGGACUGGAAAGUAUGCGUGCUGUGGCCACAGUCCCACCUCUCAGCCUGGGAACGGAAGCAGGGAGUUGCAAGGGAAAACAAGCAGACAAUCAGGCCUCUCUCUGACUGGCUCACUUCCCUUUCUGACUUCCUGGGCCUAUUCUACAAUCUCCCUCCCCAGUGGAGUGAACUCACCAUGCAGGAUUCUCUAGCUGUCUCUGCAUUCCACCAAAUGAGUUGGAAAAUGCAAAACUGUAAGGGAAAUCUUUUCCAUAUUCAUGCAGGCUCCCCGCCCGCUUCAUGUCUGCUAGCCAAGAUGAGGUCUGUCCGGGUUGUCCCUGUAUGAACUCUGGCAGAGGUCGCGACCUUUGGUCAGAAUGGAGAAAGUGGACCACAGUGCACUAAUUGAAACAAAAGACCUCUUUACCGUCAUCCUGGCACAACAGGGAGGUGCAACUUAUAGCCAGUGCACACAUCCUGCACUUUCCCACACAAUGACUUGGACUCACUUAGAACUGUCGGCCUCACAGCUGUGACGUCAAGGCAAACAUCUAUAUCAAAA
This is a long non-coding RNA of Cyprinus carpio carpio, 756 nucleotides long. NCBI's taxonomy places the organism in Eukaryota, Metazoa, Chordata, Actinopteri, Cypriniformes, Cyprinidae. The record is from Ensembl.